UGUAUCGACCCCAGGGCUGAGAAGAGUGUUUGACACGUAGUAAGUGCCCAACAGAUACUAUCAAAGAAAAAGAAAAGCGGGAAGGAAAAAUCGGCGAGCGGAUGACCCUUCACGUGGGAAAUGGAAAGCUUCUGUGGUGUUGGAUGAAAAAUUUCUCCCUUCAAGGUUUGCCCUUAGGGGACGAUAUCCGUCCUCCUAGUGGGAUUGUCUGCGAGAGAAAUCAAGAAUAAAAGGUCGGGGCUUGUGCCUCGGUGACGGCUGGGUUAGGGUUUAGCACCUCUCCGUGACACGAUGACACAUGACUAGAAUCGCUUCGAUUCGUGAAAACAGAAGAAAAAUCCAUUUUUGCAGUCCUUCAACGUCGCUGAGUGGAAAGUAAACUUGCAAUCCCCCAGGGGCCAAACGUCUUGCUUGCCCACAGAUAAGUCUCUCCGGGCCCAUCUAAUUCUAAUCCUCGUGCCAGUCAGUGGAGCUGCUGUUCUGUAGGAGGAGGAGCCGCAAAAUUCCGCAUUAUUUUCAUGAAGGCUAUCGCCGGAUACAACACGAGUUCUAACAGCCGCUGUGAAGAUGACUCAGUAAACACAGUUUGAAAUAUGUCACCCAGCAGGGGACAAAACUGAAUUCUCCUAAGGCCGGUGUGGA
This is a long non-coding RNA of Ornithorhynchus anatinus (platypus), 642 nucleotides long. RefSeq lists it as uncharacterized. The transcript has 3 exons. The record is from RefSeq and is a predicted model, not a curated record. Lineage: Eukaryota; Metazoa; Chordata; Mammalia; Monotremata; Ornithorhynchidae.